Molecule: ribosomal RNA, 169 nt
Filed under: uncultured bacterium
Lineage: Bacteria
Description: partial 16S ribosomal RNA
Rfam family: Bacterial small subunit ribosomal RNA
Source: RNAcentral
UCGCUAGUAAUCGCGGAUCAGCAUGCCGCGGUGAAUACGUUCCCGGGCCUUGUACACACCGCCCGUCACACCAUGAGAGUCGGGAACACCCGAAGUCCGUAGUCUAACCGCAAGGGGGACGCGGCCGAAGGUGGGUUCGAUAAUUGGGGUGAAGUCGUAACAAGGUAAC